RNAcentral lists this ribosomal RNA (420 nucleotides) under uncultured bacterium. Its description in RNAcentral is "bacterial SSU rRNA". It matches the Rfam family "Bacterial small subunit ribosomal RNA", at positions 362 to 775 of the family's 1533-position model. The record is from RNAcentral.
UAUUGGACAAUGGGGGCAACCCUGAUCCAGCGAUGCCGCGUGGGUGAAGAAGGCCUUCGGGUUGUAAAGCCCUUUAGGCUGGGAAGAAGUGUACAUGAGGAAAUGCGUGUACAUUGACGGUACCAGCAGAAUAAGCACCGGCAAACUCUGUGCCAGCAGCCGCGGUAAUACAGAGGGUGCAAGCGUUAAUCGGAGUUACUGGGCGUAAAGGGCGCGUAGGCGGUGAUAUGAGUGUGAUGUGAAAGCCCCGGGCUUAACCUGGGAAGUGCAUCGCAAACGAUAUGACUGGAGUAGAUGAGAGGGUGGCGGAAUUUCCGGUGUAGCGGUGAAAUGCGUAGAGAUCGGAAGGAACGUCAAUGGCGAAGGCAGCCACCUGGCAUCAUACUGACGCUGAGGCGCGAAAGCGUGGGGAGCGAACAG